UACGUAGGUGGCAAGCGUUGUCCGGAAUUAUUGGGCGUAAAGCGCACGUAGGCGGAUAUUUAAGUCAGGGGUGAAAUCCCAGAGCUCAACUCUGGAACUGCCUUUGAUACUGGGUAUCUCGAGUAUGGAAGAGGUGAGUGGAAUUCCGAGUGUAGAGGUGAAAUUCGUAGAUAUUCGGAGGAACACCAGUGGCGAAGGCGGCUCACUGGUCCAUUACUGACGCUGAGGUGCGAAAGCGUGGGGAGCAAACAGG
RNAcentral lists this ribosomal RNA (253 nucleotides) under uncultured bacterium. RNAcentral's name for it is "partial 16S ribosomal RNA". It matches the Rfam family "Bacterial small subunit ribosomal RNA", at positions 524 to 776 of the family's 1533-position model. The record is from RNAcentral.